AAGAUAGAAGAUGAGGAGACGAUCUCGUUCAUCUUGAACGGGUUGGACCUCGACUACAACUCCUUGGUGACUUCCAUGAUGGGUCGUGCUGAUACAAAUCUGAGCGAUCUAUAUGCUCAGAUUAUGGCCUUCGACA
Panicum hallii is the source of this 136-nucleotide small nucleolar RNA. RefSeq annotates it as small nucleolar RNA Z247. The record is from RefSeq and is a predicted model, not a curated record. The transcript has a single exon. Lineage: Eukaryota; Viridiplantae; Streptophyta; Magnoliopsida; Poales; Poaceae.